RNAcentral lists this transfer RNA (100 nucleotides) under Streptomyces coeruleorubidus. RNAcentral describes it as "tRNA-Leu". The record is from RNAcentral. Lineage: Bacteria; Bacillati; Actinomycetota; Actinomycetes; Kitasatosporales; Streptomycetaceae.
UGGGCCUGGCGGCCGGACAGGCAGGGCGGCGGCGGGCUCAAGGCCUGCGGCGGCGCAGGCGUCGGCAGCGCGAUCCGUGUUCCGACCGCGACGGGUUCGG